RNAcentral lists this ribosomal RNA (712 nucleotides) under Staphylococcus saprophyticus. RNAcentral's name for it is "bacterial SSU rRNA". It matches the Rfam family "Bacterial small subunit ribosomal RNA", at positions 59 to 754 of the family's 1533-position model. The record is from RNAcentral. Lineage: Bacteria; Bacillati; Bacillota; Bacilli; Caryophanales; Staphylococcaceae.
CAGUCGAGCGAACAGAUAAGGAGCUUGCUCCUUUGACGUUAGCGGCGGACGGUGAGUAACACGUGGGUAACCUACCUAUAAGACUGGGAUAACUUCGGGAAACCGGAGCUAAUACCGGAUAACAUUUGGAACCGCAUGGUUCUAAAGUGAAAGAUGGUUUUGCUAUCACUUAUAGAUGGACCCGCGCCGUAUUAGCUAGUUGGUAAGGUAACGGCUUACCAAGGCGACGAUACGUAGCCGACCUGAGAGGGUGAUCGGCCACACUGGAACUGAGACACGGUCCAGACUCCUACGGGAGGCAGCAGUAGGGAAUCUUCCGCAAUGGGCGAAAGCCUGACGGAGCAACGCCGCGUGAGUGAUGAAGGGUUUCGGCUCGUAAAACUCUGUUAUUAGGGAAGAACAAAUGUGUAAGUAACUGUGCACGUCUUGACGGUACCUAAUCAGAAAGCCACGGCUAACUACGUGCCAGCAGCCGCGGUAAUACGUAGGUGGCAAGCGUUAUCCGGAAUUAUUGGGCGUAAAGCGCGCGUAGGCGGUUUCUUAAGUCUGAUGUGAAAGCCCACGGCUCAACCGUGGAGGGUCAUUGGAAACUGGGAAACUUGAGUGCAGAAGAGGAAAGUGGAAUUCCAUGUGUAGCGGUGAAAUGCGCAGAGAUAUGGAGGAACACCAGUGGCGAAGGCGACUUUCUGGUCUGUAACUGACGCUGAUGUGC